AAAAACAUUGCUUUAUGAAAAAUAAAUAUAAGGUUCACUCUGCCCAGUGACUUAUGAGUUAAACGGCCGCGGUACCCUGACUGUGCUAAGGUAGCGUGAUAAUUCGCCCUUUAAUUGUGGGCUUGUACGAAUGGGUUAACGAGGGUUUGACUGUCUCCUUUUUAGUAAUAGAAAUUAAUAUUCAGGUGAAAAGGCCUGAAUUAAUUUGCAGGACAAAAAGACCCCAUAGAGCUUUGUUUUAUUUGUGCUUGCUAAAAGAGUGUUUGUAUCUUUUAUUUUGUGUGAUAAAACUUAACUGGGGCGGUUGGGGAAAACUUUAUCUUCCUUUAUAGAAUACGCAUAUGAGGCUUAAACUUAUGAUCCUAAAAAUAGAAUAAAGAAAAGCUACCUUGGGGGUAACAGACUAAUUUUUUUUGAGAGUCCAUAUUGACAAAAAAGUUUGGCACAUCGAUGUUGGCUUAGGGUAACCUUAAGAUAGCAGAAGUCUUUUAGGUGGGUUUGUUCAACCUUUAAACCCCUACGUGAGCUG
RNAcentral lists this ribosomal RNA (529 nucleotides) under Ampharete sp. ZMBN 106583. Its description in RNAcentral is "partial 16S ribosomal RNA". It matches the Rfam family "Bacterial large subunit ribosomal RNA", at positions 1809 to 2607 of the family's 2925-position model. Lineage: Eukaryota; Metazoa; Annelida; Polychaeta; Terebellida; Ampharetidae. The record is from RNAcentral.